This 424-nucleotide ribosomal RNA is filed under the name Pepsinae sp. 1 SH-2011. RNAcentral describes it as "eukaryotic LSU rRNA". The record is from RNAcentral. Lineage: Eukaryota; Metazoa; Arthropoda; Insecta; Hymenoptera; Pompilidae.
UCGAAUGGGGAGAUUCAUCGUCAGUGGCGCUGGCUUCGCGGUGGUUGGCGAUGUCGAGGGACCUCGGUUCUACGGCACGUCGCCGCCGUGCUAUGUCCGGUGUCGUCGUCGUGCACUUCUCCCCUAGUAGGACGUCGCGACCCGUUGGGUGUCGGACUACGGCCCGGGUGGUUGCCCGUCUCGACGCUUCGGCGUUCGUGACAGACCCCUGGUGUUUGUCUCAUCCCGUCCGACUACUCGACGGUAUUUUGCGAUAGUAUUCGGCCGCAAUAUUUUCGAACGUAUGCGUCAUUGGCUCGUGGCAAGCGCGGUCAGUGUCCCGUGGGUACGGACGUAGUGCCGUCCCCGGGCCUGGCCAGCUGUUGGCUAACGGUGUCCUCUGACAGGCCGCUUACUUGUUUGCGACGCUAUUGCUUUGGGUACU